RNAcentral lists this ribosomal RNA (497 nucleotides) under uncultured bacterium. RNAcentral's name for it is "partial 16S ribosomal RNA". It matches the Rfam family "Bacterial small subunit ribosomal RNA", at positions 28 to 507 of the family's 1533-position model. The record is from RNAcentral.
GAUGAACGCUGGCGGCGUGCCUAAUACAUGCAAGUCGAGCGAACGGACGAGAAGCUUGCUUCUCUGAUGUUAGCGGCGGACGGGUGAGUAACACGUGGAUAACCUACCUAUAAGACUGGGAUAACUUCGGGAAACCGGAGCUAAUACCGGAUGAUAUUUUGAACCGCAUGGUUCAAAAGUGAAAGACGGUCUUGCUGUCACUUAUAGAUGGAUCCGCGCUGCAUUAGCUAGUUGGUAAGGUAAUGGCUUACCAAGGCAACGAUGCAUAGCCGACCUGAGAGGGGGAUCGGCCACACUGGAACUGAGACACGGUCCAGACUCCUACGGGAGGCAGCAGUAGGGAAUCUUCCGCAAUGGGCGAAAGCCUAACGGAGCAACGCCGCGUGAGUGAUGAAGGUCUUCGGAUCGUAAAACUCUGUUAUUAGGGAAGAACAUAUGUGUAAGUAACUGUGCACAUCUUGACGGUACCUAAUCAGAAAGCCACGGCUAACUACGUG